UUCCGGUUGAUCCCGCCGGACCCGACUGCUAUUUGGGUGAGAAUAAGCCAUGCGAGUUGAAUGGGAUGCCUAAAGUUCCCAUAGCAAACUGCUCAGUAACACAUGAUCAACUUACCCUAUAGAGAAAAAUAACCUCGGGAAACUGAGGAUAAUGUUUCAUAAUUGAAUUGGCUUGGAAAAGUUUUUCAAUGAAAGGGAUAAAAAAAAUGGUUUUUAUCUGCUAUAGGAUAGGAUCGUGUUCGAUUAUGGUUGUUGGUGAGAUAAUGGCUCACCAAGCCGAUAAUCGAUAGGGGCCGUGAGAGCGGGAGCCCCGAGAUGGGUACUGAGACAACGACCCAGGCCUUACGAGGCGCAGCAGGCGCGGAACCUCCGCAAUACACGAAAGUGUGACGGGGUUACCCAAAGUGUUCAAUAGAACUGUGGUAGGUGAGUAAUGUCCCCUACUAGAAAGGAGAGGGCAAGGCUGGUGCCAGCCGCCGCGGUAAAACCAGCUCUUCAAGUGGUCGGGAUAAUUAUUGGGCUUAAAGUGUCCGUAGCCGGUUUAGCAAGUUCCUGGUAAAAUCGGGUAGCUUAACUAUCUGCAUGCUAGGAAUACUGCUAUACUAGAGGGCGGGAGAGGUCUGAGGUACUACAGGGGUAGGGGUGAAAUCUUAUAAUCCUUGUAGGACCACCAGUGGCGAAGGCGUCAGACUGGAACGCGCCUGACGGUGAGGGACGAAAGCCAGGGGAGCGAACCGGAUUAGAUACCCGGGUAGUCCUGGCCGUAAACGAUGCAUACUAGGUGAUGGUACGGCCAUGAGCCGUAUCAGUGCCGUAGGGAAACCGUUAAGUGUGCCGCCUGGGAAGUACGGUCGCAAGGCUAAAACUUAAAGGAAUUGGCGGGGGAGCACCACAAGGGGUGAAGCCUGCGGUUCAAUUGGAUUCAACGCCGGGAAUCACUAGUGCGGCCG
This 950-nucleotide ribosomal RNA is filed under the name uncultured archaeon. RNAcentral describes it as "bacterial SSU rRNA". It matches the Rfam family "Archaeal small subunit ribosomal RNA", at positions 1 to 941 of the family's 1478-position model. The record is from RNAcentral.